GACGAACGCUGGCGGCGUGCCUAAUACAUGCAAGUCGAGCGGACCAAACGGGAGCUUGCUCUUGUUUGGUUAGCGGCGGACGGGUGAGUAACACGUGGGUAACCUGCCCGUAAGACCGGGAUAACUCCGGGAAACCGGAGCUAAUACCGGAUAACACCGAAGACCGCAUGGUCUUUGGUUGAAAGGCGGCUUCGGCUGCCACUUACGGAUGGGCCCGCGGCGCAUUAGCUAGUUGGUGAGGUAACGGCUCACCAAGGCGACGAUGCGUAGCCGGCCUGAGAGGGUGACCGGCCACACUGGGACUGAGACACGGCCCAGACUCCUACGGGGAGGCAGCAGUAGGGGAAUCUUCCGCAAUGGACGAAAGUCUGACGGAGCGACGCCGCGUGAGCGAAGAAGGUCUUCGGAUCGUAAAGCUCUGUUGUUAGGGAAGAAGAAGCGCCGUUCGAAGAGGGCGGCGCGGUGACGGUACCUAACGAGAAAGCCCCGGCUAACUACGUGCCAGCCGCCGCGGUAAU
RNAcentral lists this ribosomal RNA (518 nucleotides) under uncultured bacterium. RNAcentral's name for it is "bacterial SSU rRNA". It matches the Rfam family "Bacterial small subunit ribosomal RNA", at positions 28 to 524 of the family's 1533-position model. The record is from RNAcentral.